RNAcentral lists this ribosomal RNA (284 nucleotides) under uncultured bacterium. RNAcentral describes it as "partial 16S ribosomal RNA". It matches the Rfam family "Bacterial small subunit ribosomal RNA", at positions 773 to 1060 of the family's 1533-position model. The record is from RNAcentral.
GUGGAUUAGAUACCCUGGUAGUCCACGCCGUAAACGAUGAUCACUCGCUGUUAGCGAUACACAGUUAGCGGCUAAGCAAAAGCAUUAAGUGAUCCACCUGGGGAGUACGGCCGCAAGGCUGAAACUCAAAGGAAUUGACGGGGGCCCGCACAAGCGGAGGAACAUGUGGUUUAAUUCGAUGAUACGCGAGGAACCUUACCUGGGCUUAAAUGUAGAGUGCAUGGGGUAGAAAUAUCCCUUUCCUUCGGGACUCUUUGCAAGGUGCUGCAUGGCCGUCGCCAACU